GGAAAGAUGAAAAGAACUUUGAAAAGAGAGUUAAACAGUACGUGAAAUUGUUGAAAGGGAAACGAUUGAAGUCAGUCAUACCAACGGGAAAUCAACCUUUAGAGUUUGGUCUUGUGGGUUUCGGAGAGUUUAAAAGCCUUCGGAUUCGUUAGGAUUGGGCUCUUUUGGUGUACUUUCUCGUACGGUUAGUCAACAUCGGUUUUGAAUGUCAUAAAAUGACUGGAGGAAUGUGGCUUCGAUCUCGUAUCGAAGUGUUAUAGCCUUUGGUAGAUGUGAUGUUCGAGUCCGAGGAUUGCAACGGAUACCCUUCUGGGCUAUUCGUCUGAUCUCUGAUACGUUGCCUUGAUGUCGAAAGCUUGCUUAUGAUGUUAGGGUAUUACGGUCAAAAGGUUAGAACGGAUUAAAUUCGUUAAGGAUGUUGACGUAAUGACUUUAAACGACCCGUCUUGAAACACGGACCA
RNAcentral lists this ribosomal RNA (461 nucleotides) under Septoglomus constrictum. RNAcentral describes it as "LSU rRNA". It matches the Rfam family "Eukaryotic large subunit ribosomal RNA", at positions 358 to 668 of the family's 3401-position model. The record is from RNAcentral. Lineage: Eukaryota; Fungi; Glomeromycota; Glomeromycetes; Glomerales; Glomeraceae.